This 460-nucleotide ribosomal RNA is filed under the name uncultured bacterium. RNAcentral describes it as "partial 16S ribosomal RNA". It matches the Rfam family "Bacterial small subunit ribosomal RNA", at positions 338 to 795 of the family's 1533-position model. The record is from RNAcentral.
CCUACGGGUGGCAGCAGUGAGGAAUAUUGGUCAAUGGACGAGAGCCUGAACCAGCCAAGUAGCGUGAAGGAUGACUGCCCUAUGGGUUGUAAACUUCUUUUAUAUGGGAAUAAAAUGUUCCACGUGUGGGAUUUUGUAUGUACCAUAUGAAUAAGGAUCGGCUAACUCCGUGCCAGCAGCCGCGGUAAUACGGAGGAUCCGAGCGUUAUCCGGAUUUAUUGGGUUUAAAGGGAGCGUAGGUGGUUUGUUAAGUCAGUUGUGAAAGUUUGCGGCUCAACCGUAAAAUUGCAGUUGAAACUGGCAGUCUUGAGUACAGUAGAGGUGGGCGGAAUUCGUGGUGUAGCGGUGAAAUGCUUAGAUAUCACGAAGAACUCCGAUUGCGAAGGCAGCUCACUGGACUGCAACUGACACUGAGGCUCGAAAGUGUGGGUAUCAAACAGGAUUAGAUACCCCAGUAGUC